GAUGAACGCUGGCGGCGUGCCUAAUACAUGCAAGUCGAGCGAACAGACGAGGAGCUUGCUCCUCUGACGUUAGCGGCGGACGGGUGAGUAACACGUGGAUAACCUACCUAUAAGACUGGGAUAACUUCGGGAAACCGGAGCUAAUACCGGAUAAUAUAUUGAACCGCAUGGUUCAAUAGUGAAAGACGGUUUUGCUGUCACUUAUAGAUGGAUCCGCGCCGCAUUAGCUAGUUGGUAAGGUAACGGCUUACCAAGGCAACGAUGCGUAGCCGACCUGAGAGGGUGAUCGGCCACACUGGAACUGAGACACGGUCCAGACUCCUACGGGAGGCAGCAGGAGGGAAUCUUCCGCAAUGGGCGAAAGCCUGACGGAGCAACGCCGCGUGAGUGAUGAAGGUCUUCGGAUCGUAAAACGCUGUUAUUAGGGAAGAACAAAUGUGUAAGUAACGAUGCACGUCUUGACGGUACCUAAUCAGAAAGCCACGGCUAACUACGU
RNAcentral lists this ribosomal RNA (496 nucleotides) under uncultured bacterium. RNAcentral's name for it is "partial 16S ribosomal RNA". It matches the Rfam family "Bacterial small subunit ribosomal RNA", at positions 28 to 506 of the family's 1533-position model. The record is from RNAcentral.